UACGUAGGGGGCUAGCGUUGUCCGGAUUUAUUGGGCGUAAAGAGCGUGUAGGCGGCCAGGUAGGUCCGUUGUGAAAACUGGAGGCUUAACCUCCAGCGGUCGAUGGAAACCAUCUGGCUAGAGUCCGGAAGAGGAGAGUGGAAUUCCUGGUGUAGCGGUGAAAUGCGCAGAUAUCAGGAAGAACACCCGUGGCGAAGGCGGCUCUCUGGGACGGUACUGACGCUGAGACGCGAAAGCGUGGGGAGCGAACAGGAUUAGAAACCCGAGUAGUCC
RNAcentral lists this ribosomal RNA (273 nucleotides) under uncultured bacterium. Its description in RNAcentral is "partial 16S ribosomal RNA". It matches the Rfam family "Bacterial small subunit ribosomal RNA", at positions 524 to 796 of the family's 1533-position model. The record is from RNAcentral.